RNAcentral lists this ribosomal RNA (141 nucleotides) under uncultured eukaryote. RNAcentral describes it as "partial 18S ribosomal RNA". It matches the Rfam family "Eukaryotic small subunit ribosomal RNA", at positions 1299 to 1458 of the family's 1831-position model. The record is from RNAcentral.
UGGUGGAGUGAUUUGUCUGGUUAAUUCCGUUAACGAACGAGACCUCGACCUGCUAAAUAGUGACCAGAAUUCAUCGAAUUUUGUGUCAACUUCUUAGAGGGACUAUCGGUGCGUAGCCGAUGGAAGUUCGAGGCAAUAACA